This is a long non-coding RNA of Panicum virgatum (switchgrass), 383 nucleotides long. RefSeq lists it as uncharacterized. NCBI's taxonomy places the organism in Eukaryota, Viridiplantae, Streptophyta, Magnoliopsida, Poales, Poaceae. The transcript has 2 exons. The record is from RefSeq and is a predicted model, not a curated record.
AAAGUACAUUUAUGUUGGUCAGCUCUCCAUCCCAAGCAAAAACUUGCAAAGAUAGCAGGCCCAAGCUUGUUGCUGGUUCCCCAGAAGGAUUUCCUGGUCAUGUUGAUGGGAAGGUUCGAGAGGCAAGGAUGAACCAUCCAAAGGGAUUUACAGUGGAUGACAGGGGUAACAUCUAUGUGGCUGAUGCCAUGAACAUGGCCAUUAGAAAGAUCAGUGAUACAGGUAAGCUAAAAUGUCCUGUGGUAGUGUAGAUCCAUAUGCUUUUGUCUGUUCCUUGUGCAUCCUAUGUUUGCCUUUUGGUUCUAUAGCUGGUCUUGUCCAGCAUGUAUUCAGCAACUGGAUCCAAAACUACAUUCCGAAAUAUUAAACUGGUCUUGAGUAAA